This 450-nucleotide ribosomal RNA is filed under the name uncultured bacterium. RNAcentral describes it as "partial 16S ribosomal RNA". It matches the Rfam family "Bacterial small subunit ribosomal RNA", at positions 354 to 796 of the family's 1533-position model. The record is from RNAcentral.
GUGGGGAAUAUUGGACAAUGGGCGAAAGCCUGAUCCAGCCAUGCCGCGUGUGUGAAGAAGGUCUUCGGAUUGUAAAGCACUUUAAGUUGGGAGGAAGGGCAGUAAGUUAAUACCUUGCUGUUUUGACGUUACCGACAGAAUAAGCACCGGCUAACUUCGUGCCAGCAGCCGCGGUAAUACGAAGGGUGCAAGCGUUAAUCGGAAUUACUGGGCGUAAAGCGCGCGUAGGUGGUUUUGUAAGUUGGAGGUGAAAUCCACGGGCUCAACCUGGGAACUGCCUCCAAAACUGCAUGACUAGAGUACGGUAGAGGAUAGUGGAAUUUCCUGUGUAGCGGUGAAAUGCGUAGAUAUAGGAAGGAACACCAGUGGCGAAGGCGACUACCUGGACUGAUACUGACACUGAGGUGCGAAAGCGUGGGGAGCAAACAGGAUUAGAUACCCCAGUAGUCC